This is a long non-coding RNA of Anguilla rostrata (American eel), 2124 nucleotides long. RefSeq lists it as uncharacterized. NCBI's taxonomy places the organism in Eukaryota, Metazoa, Chordata, Actinopteri, Anguilliformes, Anguillidae. The record is from RefSeq and is a predicted model, not a curated record. The transcript is spliced from 3 exons.
AAGUAAGAAUGAUUUAAGAAAAGUUUUGUGAAUGAGGCCCAUUGGUUCUAUCUGCCGGUCAGAACAGUGUUAAUGUGUGCCUCGAAGGAACAGAGCUGUCACGCUUGGCUUUGUACUUGAGAAGGACUGUUUGCAUUUCUGUGCUAUAUCAGAUGCGCCAGACUGAAACCUGUGCAGACUUAUUUUCCCAGAACCCACUUUUCCUGCUUGAAUGAAUAUAUAAAUCAUUUUACACCUCAGAUGUUUUUUUUUCUUUCUUUUUUUAGCCUACAUUAAGUCAAUGAAGAGAAUCAUUUUUUACACUCCUGUUGCUGGGGAAAUACUCCUUUGGAAUUGUGAGUGAAUGAAUUUGGCAGGACAUCAAUUAACAUUCAGACUAAGUAAUUUUCAUACAUGUUUGUUUAUAUGGAAAAUGCAUAUAGUUGUCCUUAAUAUAUCAGGUUUAUCACCGUCUCCUAGUGCACUUAAAAAGGAUAUUUCCCCUGGUCUUCACUACCCUUCAAUAAAACAGCACACAGUAGAGACAUGGAUGAUGGCAGUAUUUGAAUUGUAUCAUCUACACUAAAACCUAGGAAAUAUGCAGGAGUUAUACACUCACUGGCCACUUCAUUAGGUACUUGCUAGUACCGGGUGUGGUCUUCUGCUACUGUAGCCCAUCUGCUUCAAGGUUCGACGGUCCAUUCUGUAAACCCUAGAGAUGGUUGUGCCUAAAAAUCCCAGCCGUUUCUGAAAUACUCAAACCAGCCCGUCUGGCACCAACAACCAUGCCACAUUCAAAGUCACCUUAAAUCACCUUUCUUCCCCAUUCUGAUGCUUGGUUUGAACUUCAGCAGAUCGUCUUGACCAUGUCUACAUGCCUAAAUGCAUUGAGUUGCUGCCACGUGAUUAGCUGAUUAGAUAUGUUAAUGAGCAGUUGAACAGGUGUACCUAAUGAAUUGGCUGGUGAGUGUAUAUGGUACACACACAUAAUGUUUACAAAAAUGUAAAUAAAAAAAUUAAUUUUUUCUAUAUUUAUUUCACAAAAUCCACAUCAGCUAGUGGCACACAAUUCAUCUCCAACAUGUUUCAACCACUGGGGAAAAACAAAUUGUGCAUAUCUAAAAGCUGUCAAGUUCAGCAAGGGAUCCCCAAGGAAAGACUACUUUUCACUUUGAAAAUAACUGAAUAAAAGUUUUUCAAUGACAGAAGUGGGUUCAGAUUGUGUGAGUAAUACACAGUAGGCUACUUUACAAGCCAAGUCCACGGUGCUGCGAAAAUGACACUACAGCAGCUACUAGGCAUUUUAAACAUGGUUUUAAAGCUUAGGAGUUCUGUCUAAUUCGCCCCGCUACUCGAUUGACUUGUCAUAACACCAAUCGCUGCUCUGACAACCAAAACUAGCUGGCCCCCACAAAGUGAUCUGGGGCACGUUCAAUCUGAAAACGGUGUGCACCGUUUUGCUACGGUUUCCGGGUUGAACGACAUGUUUCCUGGAAACGGUGUGAAACGGUGUCCAACGGGCUUUGUGGUAGCCUACGUUUUCUGUCGUUUGGUGGGUGUAUCAGAGAUGUUACCCAAUCAGCAGCGACAUGUGUAUAAACCGCACCGUAUUAAAAAUGCAGUGGGCAUAAUGGAUCAAACUAAAGUCCUUUACAAAUGAAUGGCCUUCUCAGCCAUAGACAUAUGUUCUCAGCUGCCAUAGUUGCAACGCUUGCGUAACACAACAGGAUGUUCAAUUCACCACUGUUGCCGUUUAAGUAAACGUUUUGUCGGGGCUGAACGCGCCCCUGAACUCAGUGGCUUUGCUUCUCUAGAUUUUUUUCAGCGGAAGCUUAUUGUUCAAAAUAACGUCUGAGCUGAAAAACAGCUGCAGCUUGAAUUCUAACGGAGUUAUAUUUUGGAUCACAAAAACGUUUUUACAGACAAAAAAAAACAUACAGAUGCAAAUAUUAGGUACCUCGGAGGGGAAUGCAAUUCUGCAAAGCACAGAUGUGACUUUCAGCAGGAAUAUCACAGGAGGUCAGCAGAUUAAGCUGAGGAAGGCACCAAUGAAUGACAGAAUGGCCUCAAAAAAAACCUUUGAGCUUACUUUAGACUCAUAACUGAUGGCUUAAUGUAUGACUAAAUAAAUUUGUUAAAACAGUA